Molecule: non-coding RNA, 326 nt
Organism: Drosophila melanogaster (fruit fly)
Lineage: Eukaryota; Metazoa; Arthropoda; Insecta; Diptera; Drosophilidae
Source: Ensembl
AGUGUAAUCUGUUCAUGACGAACUGCGUAAAUGUUCCGAUCAUUUAACUGAUCAAACAUACUUUACAAACAAUUCAAUGUUUGUAGUCAACUCGAGUAGCCCACCUUUGCCUCGGUUGUAGCCCGCAGAUAUCGCAGAUACUGGAGUAGAAACUUUGAAGUGCCAUGUCGGACAACAAAUAAACAACCCAAACAACACUGUGUUUAACCAUAGCAGGGGUGAAGAACACAUGCACCGAGUUCUUUGUCGGAAUUAGAAGUACAAAUAAAGCCGAACCCACAAUGAGUUAUAAUAAAUGGGAACAAUAGUGACCCUAAAAUUUUAUG